Molecule: non-coding RNA, 283 nt
Organism: Pelobates cultripes (western spadefoot toad)
Lineage: Eukaryota; Metazoa; Chordata; Amphibia; Anura; Pelobatidae
Source: the annotation of a GenBank genome assembly
CAGAGAAUGUCCCCCUUUAAUAGAAACCUCGCAGAAGACUGUCACCUCCAAUGAUUUCAGCUUCACUGUGGUGCGUACAGAUACUAGUGGUACUAAUACAUCAAUGUAAUCCAUAUUCUGAGUUAACAUCAUGGACUGAGCCUAUUACAAAUGGUAGAAUCUCUGGGAGAAUACUGCUAUCGGGUAAAGGAUCCAGACUGCAGCAGAGCCAUAGGCAGGAAAUAUGGAAACCGACCGUCAUCCUCCAGAAGUCAGGAAACAAUCCAGAUUGUUUAGAAGGUCC